ACGAACGCUGGCGGCGUGCUUAACACAUGCAAGUCGAGCGGAAAGGCCCUUCGGGGUACUCGAGCGGCGAACGGGUGAGUAACACGUGGGCAACCUGCCCCUAGCUCUGGGAUAACUCCGGGAAACCGGGGCUAAUACCGGAUACGACUUCCCCCGGCAUCUGGGGAAGUGGAAAGUUCUUCGGCUAGGGAUGGGCCCGCGGCCUAUCAGCUUGUUGGUGGGGUAACGGCCCACCAAGGCGACGACGGGUAGCCGGCCUGAGAGGGCGACCGGCCACACUGGGACUGAGACACGGCCCAGACUCCUACGGGAGGCAGCAGUGGGGAAUAUUGCGCAAUGGGCGAAAGCCUGACGCAGCGACGCCGCGUGAGGGAUGAAGGCCUUCGGGUUGUAAACCUCUUUCAGCAGGGACGAAGCGAGAGUGACGGUACCUGCAGAAGAAGCACCGGCCAACUACGU
Molecule: ribosomal RNA, 459 nt
Filed under: uncultured bacterium
Lineage: Bacteria
Description: bacterial SSU rRNA
Rfam family: Bacterial small subunit ribosomal RNA
Source: RNAcentral